GACGAACGCUGGCGGCGUGCUUAACGCAUGCAAGUCGAACGGGAUUUAGUAAACGGAAGCCUCGGUGGAAGAUUACUAAUGAGAGUGGCGAACGGGUGAGUAACGCGUGAGCAACCUGCCUAUGACAGUGGGAUAGCCUCGGGAAACCGGGAUUAAUACCGCAUAAAAUCGUAGAAACACAUGUUUCAACGGUCAAAGAUUUAUCGGUCAUAGAUGGGCUCGCGUCUGAUUAGCUAGUUGGUGAGAUAACAGCCCACCAAGGCGACGAUCAGUAGCCGGUCUGAGAGGAUGAACGGCCACAUUGGAACUGAGACACGGUCCAAACUCCUACGGGAGGCAGCAGUGGGGAAUAUUGCACAAUGGGGGAAACCCUGAUGCAGCGACGCCGCGUGAACGAAGAAGGUAUUCGUAUCGUAAAGUUCUGUCCUAUGGGAAGAUAAUGACAGUACCAUAGAAGAAAGCUCCGGCUAAAUACGUG
This 478-nucleotide ribosomal RNA is filed under the name uncultured bacterium. RNAcentral describes it as "partial 16S ribosomal RNA". It matches the Rfam family "Bacterial small subunit ribosomal RNA", at positions 28 to 507 of the family's 1533-position model. The record is from RNAcentral.